GUGCAUGCUUGGGCAGCACGUGUAAUAGAAUCAGAAGGACGCAAAGAAGAUUAGCAUGGCCCCGUGCGAGGAUGACGUGCAGAUUGGUGAAGCGUUCCCUAUCACA
This is a small nuclear RNA of Lynx canadensis (Canada lynx), 106 nucleotides long. Lineage: Eukaryota; Metazoa; Chordata; Mammalia; Carnivora; Felidae. The record is from Ensembl.